This is a long non-coding RNA of Pseudophryne corroboree (corroboree frog), 2502 nucleotides long. RefSeq lists it as uncharacterized. The transcript is spliced from 6 exons. The record is from RefSeq and is a predicted model, not a curated record. Lineage: Eukaryota; Metazoa; Chordata; Amphibia; Anura; Myobatrachidae.
ACUGUCUGCUCACUGGUGGACUGAUUGGCGGUGGAGGCUCAUUUGAAUGGUGACUGGAGCGGACCCCUGCCUGCUGCUGCUUCCGGAUGGAGGACCAGCCGUGUCGGUUGUCCUGUGCAUUGCAGAUCUGUAGCGACUGGACGUGCGUGUCUGGCUCUCCUCACCUGUGGCUGCCUGGAAUCUUGACCUUGCUGGAGUGUGCGGCCUGCUGAAAUGCUGCGGAGGUGACCGGCAUGCUCAUUGGAGUCACUGGGGGAUCUUGGCCACUUACUCUCUGCCCCUCAUUCUUGCCUGUGCCUGGAGACGACGUGGACAUGGGAGUCGGCGUCCCUGGGAGUCAUGUCCCUGGGAGCCUGCCUGCUGCGGCCGCGGCGGGAGCCUGUCGUAUUCGAGUGCCGCUGCUGGGGACAAUGCUGCAGACGCCUGAGACCUGCUGAUCGCGGCAGCGGCUGACUCGUCAGGUUCUCUCCUGGUGUGGCUGGAGUAGCGGUGGAAGGGAUACGUUCCGCUGCUGCAGGGGAGCUGAGCAUUGAGGCGGCUUCACAUUGAUCACCCCUCCCGGCUGACCUGAGCAUCUUACACACAAUGUGCUACUGUAUGGCUCAAGUGGACAUACAUAUCUUUACUGGAUGUGGACAAGGCCAUUUUGCUUGGAUUCCAUUUCAUGUUUUACUUACUUCGUUUGAUACAAUCAAGAUGAGGGGAGUGUGGAUGACGUCUUGGAGUGUUGAAAAAAAGCACAACUGCUCACCCUACUGUCACUCCCAUGACAUCUGAUGAUGAUGACGCUGCGGAAGCAGGUUCCUCAAUAGAAGUCUAGAGCAGCAGAAGGCGGCCUCCUGAACCACACCAAAAAUGGACACAUGUGCCAACAAAGAAAGCAAGGUCUGAUGUCCACUCCCAACCACAGCAGGCUACCCCGCCACGAAGAUUGUCUGCAGUUUCUUUGGUUCCCCCACUCCAAAUUCUGGACACACCUCCAAGACGACAACCACACUCCCCUCAUCUUGAUGAUUCAAGUACUGCUACCACAUCCCUCCACAACACCAGCAACACAGUGACAUAGAUGAGACAAUCAUUUUACAAAUGCAGCCAGUAUUUGAAGGAAACACCCCCCCCCCCAGCAGUGUGAGUACACCACCACCGAUAAACACACCACCACCACCACCACCACAACACAGCCCAACAACGCCAGUAGCACAAGGCCCUGAUCAAGUGUUUUGGGAUAGUUGGGCUACACAGCAGGCCUCUAAUCAGGAUUGCCUGCAUAGGCAGACACAAAUAUUUUCAAGCCUACCAUCUCACCUCACAAGAAUCAGCAGAAAUAUCAGCCGCUAAAAUGAACCAACCACGAGAAUUGCCAAUACCAUGGAAAUCAUGCGGGCAGACAUGACACAUGUCCUGGGCAACUUACAACGCCUAAUGGAAGAACAGCACAGACAACAGCAAAGCUACCUCAACAUUUUAGAAACCAAUCAAAUGCUCAAUGAAUCUAUAACCAGAAUUUUAGAAAAUAACAAUGCUGCAAUGCGUGAACUCAAUGCCACACUCACUAACCUCAAUGAAACACUCAGCUCCCAGCACCAACAGCAACCAAGCAGCAGUUCUGGUACGACAACUCCACUUAUAUCACCUGUGUCCUCACCACCAAGGUGCUCCACCAGAUCACGCCCACAGGACAGUGGUAAAGGCAAAGGCCCGUCCAAGCAGCCGCCCAAAAAAAUAUAAAUAAUAUAGAUACAGAUUUCUGUUUAGUAGAAGAAAACAAACACAGUUACUAAGUGUAUGAUUGUCUGUAUAUAUAUACCACUUAGCACAUUACUAAUUUAAACAACAUCAUUAAUUAUAACUGUUACAAACAACAAAAGGUAUUUUUUCAUGACAAUGAUUAUUGACAUUCUUUGUAUUUUUUUUUGAGCAUAAAAAUGUUGUCUGUGCUACACAUUGUCCUUAGCAUGCAGAAAUAAGUCUGCAUUAUUUGAUUUUCUAAUGAAUACUUCUUGAUCCCAAUCAGUCUCACAUACUGCAGCUUCACUAAUUGGCAGCCAUACAGAAUGUCCUUAGCAUGCAGAUAUACGUCCGCAUUAUUUGAUUUUCUAAUGAAUACUUCUUGAUUCCAAUCAGUCUCAUAUCCUGCAGCUUCACUAACUGGCAGCCAUGCACAUUAUCACAUGACCCAUACAACUUACAAUUUAACAUUUUACUCAUUUACAUUUCUAAAAUAGGCGACAUUACAAUCAUAACAGUAUUGUGGUACAAGAGAGUGUCCUAAUAUGUUGAACCUAAAUUGUGAUUAUGACUUUUUUAAGGUUUUACAUUAUUGUCCUGCCCUGUUUGUGUGUUGUAAAAAGGACUAAUAUGUUUUUAAAACAUGAAGCAUAACAAAACAAAAAAAAACAUUUCAAAUGCCAAAGUAUUGUGUGUAAUAAUGGAUCAAUCUUGUUUACUGUGUUGAGUCUAACAAAUCUGCAGAUUUCCUCCAGCAAACAGAAACAAAUAAAA